CCUACGGGUGGCAGCAGUGGGGAAUAUUGCACAAUGGGGGAAACCCUGAUGCAGCGAUGCCGCGUGAGUGAGGAAGUCUUUCGGUAUGUAAAGUUCUAUCAGCAGGGAGGAAAAUGACGGUACUUGUCUAAGUAGCCAUGGCUAAUUACGUGACAGCAGCCGCGGUCAUACGUAGGGGGAAAGCGUUCUCCGGAUUUACUGGGUGUAAGGGGAGAGUAGACGGCUGAUCAAGUCAGAAGUGAAAACCCAGGGCUCAACCUUGGGACUGCUUUUGAGACUGAGCAGCUAGAGUGCAGGAGAGGUAGGCAGAAUUCCAUGUGUAGCGGUGAAAUGCGUAGAGAUGAGGAGGAACACCAGUGGCGAAGGCGGCUUACUGGACUAUGACUGACGUUGAGGUGCGAAAGCGUGGGGAGCAAACAGGAUUAGAUACCCUAGUAGUC
This 440-nucleotide ribosomal RNA is filed under the name uncultured bacterium. RNAcentral describes it as "partial 16S ribosomal RNA". It matches the Rfam family "Bacterial small subunit ribosomal RNA", at positions 338 to 795 of the family's 1533-position model. The record is from RNAcentral.